This 493-nucleotide unclassified non-coding RNA is filed under the name Hevea brasiliensis (rubber tree). Lineage: Eukaryota; Viridiplantae; Streptophyta; Magnoliopsida; Malpighiales; Euphorbiaceae. The record is from RNAcentral.
GCUGAAACUCCAAACUCUGCUAUGACACAAUACGAGCUUUUGAGCAAUUGCAAACUAAUUUGUCAUUAAGAGAACUUGAAUCUGAAUAGACCUUCAAUCUGCAACUGCAAACUCCAAUCUGAGAUUAGAAAUCCCACGUUUGCAUAAAAUAAAUAAAUAAAUAAAACCUUUUCUCACCAAUAAAUAAAUAAAUUUCUUGAGCGAGGAGGGAGAUUUUCUACAAUCUCCCUUGUCUUUUCCUCAUUCUUUCCCAGAAAAGAAACAAACAAAAUAAAUAAAUAAAAUUUAGUCCAAAAUUCUAUCAUUUCCCAUUACACCAAACACAAGAAAAAAUGCAUUUCAAAACAGUGAGAGAUGAAAAUACGCUAUCAAACACACAGGAUCCACAGUUUUUCCUUCAAUCAGCACACACAAUCGUAAGGACUAAAACAAAGAAAUAAAGGAAUCAAUCUACCCAGUAGAGACAUACCCGGACAAGAAAUAAAAAAUGAGA